This 253-nucleotide ribosomal RNA is filed under the name uncultured bacterium. RNAcentral's name for it is "partial 16S ribosomal RNA". It matches the Rfam family "Bacterial small subunit ribosomal RNA", at positions 524 to 776 of the family's 1533-position model. The record is from RNAcentral.
UACGUAGGUGGCAAGCGUUGUCCGGAAUUAUUGGGCGUAAAGCGCGCGCAGGCGGCCUCUUAAGUCUGAUGUGAAAGCCCCCGGCUCGAACCGGGGCAGGCCUUGGAAACUGGGAGGCUUGAGUAUAGGAGAGAAGAGUGGAAUUCCACGUGUAGCGGUGAAAUGCGUAGAGAUGUGGAGGAACACCAGUGGCGAAGGCGACUCUUUGGCCUAUAACUGACGCUGAGGCGCGAAAGCGUGGGGAGCAAACAGG